CUCAGGAUGAACGCUAGCGGCAGUGUCUAAUACAUGCAAGUCGGACGGGAUUGAAAUUAAAGCUUGCUUUAAUUUCAUGAGAGUGGCGCACGGGUGCGUAACGCGUGAGCAACCUACCCAUAUCAGGGGGAUAGCCUCUCGAAAGAGAGAUUAACACCGCAUAACAUCAUUUACCGGCAUCGGUUUAUGAUCAAAUAUUUAUAGGAUAUGGAUGGGCUCGCGUGACAUUAGCUAGUUGGAGGGGUAACGGCCCACCAAGGCUACGAUGUCUAGGGGCUCUGAGAGGAGAAUCCCCCACACUGGUACUGAGACACGGACCAGACUCCUACGGGAGGCAGCAGUAAGGAAUAUUGGUCAAUGGAGGGAACUCUGAACCAGCCAUGCCGCGUGCAGGAUGACUGCCCUAUGGGUUGUAAACUGCUUUUGUCAGGGAAUAAACCUUUCCACGUGUGGGAAGCUGAAUGUACCUGAAGAAUAAGGAUCGGCUAACUCCGUGCCAGCAGCCGCGGUAAUACGGAGGAUCCAAGCGUUAUCCGGAUUUAUUGGGUUUAAAGGGUGCGUAGGCGGUCCUAUAAGUCAGUGGUGAAAGACGGCAGCUUAACUGUCGCAGUGCCUUUGAUACUGUAGGACUUGAAUCUAUUUGAAGUGGGCGGAAUAAGACAAGUAGCGGUGAAAUGCAUAGAUAUGUCUUAGAACUCCGAUUGCGAAGGCAGCUCACUAAGUUAGUAUUGACGCUGAUGCACGAAAGCGUGGGGAUCAAACAGGAUUAGAUACCCUGGUAGUCCACGCCCUAAACGAUGAUAACUCGAUGUUUGCGAUACACAGUAAGCGUCCAAGCGAAAGCGUUAAGUAUCCACCUGGAGACUCAAGUUC
RNAcentral lists this ribosomal RNA (873 nucleotides) under Sphingobacterium faecium. RNAcentral's name for it is "bacterial SSU rRNA". It matches the Rfam family "Bacterial small subunit ribosomal RNA", at positions 23 to 888 of the family's 1533-position model. Lineage: Bacteria; Pseudomonadati; Bacteroidota; Sphingobacteriia; Sphingobacteriales; Sphingobacteriaceae. The record is from RNAcentral.